Molecule: ribosomal RNA, 253 nt
Filed under: uncultured bacterium
Lineage: Bacteria
Description: partial 16S ribosomal RNA
Rfam family: Bacterial small subunit ribosomal RNA
Source: RNAcentral
UACGUAGGGUGCGAGCGUUGUCCGGAAUUAUUGGGCGUAAAGCGUGCGCAGGCGGUUGUGCAAGACAGAUGUGAAAUCCCCGGGCUCAACCUGGGAACUGCAUUUGUGACUGCACAGCUUGAGUGCGGCAGAGGGGGAUGGAAUUCCGCGUGUAGCAGUGAAAUGCGUAGAUAUGCGGAGGAACACCGAUGGCGAAGGCAAUCCCCUGGGCCUGCACUGACGCUCAUGCACGAAAGCGUGGGGAGCAAACAGG